This 218-nucleotide long non-coding RNA is filed under the name Elaeis guineensis (African oil palm). RNAcentral describes it as "long non-coding RNA (EGUI_LNC053698)". Lineage: Eukaryota; Viridiplantae; Streptophyta; Magnoliopsida; Arecales; Arecaceae. The record is from RNAcentral.
ACAGGUUGCUAACAGGGAUGUCAAUCUGAAUUUUCGCUAUUGCCACACACCAUUUAGAGAGUUUGUCUCUAGUGGGAGGCAAAUGCAUUUAUGGAUUAAACCUGGCAUUGAGGAGAUGGUUAUUCUAUUUUUGAUGAGAUAGUCAAAAUGUUUGAUUUUUUCAAAAUAUAGAUGAACCAUGUGUAUGUGCAAGAAGAUAGGUGCGAGUCCCACUAACU